GAGACCUAAGAUGGCGGCGUUUGCAUAAUGUGAAAGCGAUGCAGGCGUACCAGAUUGGAGAGGCAGGCAAAGGAUGUAUCUGCUAAGGAAGGUUCGGGAACUCGCCAAUACUUGUGGCCUCUCUAUUCCCUGAAAAACAAUAAUGAAGUUAGGCCAGUGAAUACCCUACAGUGGUUCAAGUGAAAGGAGGAAAAAUCACACAUCUCUCACUUUAAAUCAAAGGUAGAUCACAUCCAAAAAAUAAAAUACCUAGAAUAAACCUACCAAAGGAGGCAAAAGACCUGUAUUCCAAAAACUCUUAAGAAGCUGAUGGAAUAAAUUGAAGAUGACACAAACAGAUGGAAGAAAUACCAUGUUCUUGGAUUGCAAGAAUCAGUAUUGUCAAAGUGACCAUACUGCCCAAGACAAUCUAAAUUUUCAGUGCAAUCCCUAUCAAAUUUAUCAAUGGCAUUUUUCUCAGAAGUGGAGCAAAAUUUUUAAAAAUUUUAUGGAAACAUAAAAGACCUUGAAUAGCCGAAACAAUCUUGAGAAAGAAGAGCAGAACUGGAGGAAUCGUGCUCCUUGACUUCAGACUAUACUACAAAGCUACAGUACUCAAAACAGAAUGAUAUUGGGGGGAUGGAACCAGACAUAUUAUAGAUCAAUGGAUAGAAAGCCCAGAAAUAAACCCAUGCCCUUUGGUCAAUUAAUCUACAACAAAGGAGGCAAGAACAUACAAUGGAAAAAAGACAGUCUCUUCAAUAAACCAUGCUGGGAAAAUUGGACAGCUACAUGUGAAAGAAUGGCACAAUGAAUUAAGUAUACAGUGUUGUCACUGCAGCAUCUCAGGUCACUGCUGUGGCGUGGGUUUGAUCCCUGGCCUGGGAACUUCUACAUGCCAUGGGUGUGGCCAAAAAGACAGCCCAAAUCCUCCCAAAUAACCAUGAGAUACCACUUCAUACUGUGCCUAUAAAAUGGAAAAUAACAAAUGUCAGUAAUGAUGUGGAAAAGUUAAAAUUUUUGUUCCUUUUGGAGUUCCUGUCAUGGCUCAGUGGUUAACGAAUCCAACUAGGAACCAUGAGGUUGUGGGUUUGACCCCUGGCCUCGCUCAGUGGGUUAAGGAUCCAGCGUUGCUGUGGCUGUGGUGUAGGCUGGUGGCUACAGCUCCGAUUCGACCCAUAGCCUGGGAACCUCCACAUGCUGCAAGUGUGGCCCUAAAAGCAAAAAAAAAAAUUGUUCUUUUUAUGGGGGACAUCAAAUAGUGAGGCUACUGUGAAGAACAGUAUUGUAUUUCCUAAAAAAUUUAAAUAUAGAAUUUUUGUGACCCCAAUUCCAUAUCAUGUAUAGUCCUAAGUUAAAGGAAUAUUAAUGUUCAAGUAAACAUUUUGUAUGGAAAUAUGUACAGCCACAACUAUUUGCCAUAGGCAAAGGGUGAAAUUGUUUCAAAUAUCCACGAGUAGAUGAAUGGCUAGAGAAAGUGGUAUAUUCAUAAAAUGCAGUAUUAUUCAUCCAUAAAUAGGAAUCAAUUACAGAUACAUAGUAUGUCAUGGAUGUUCAUCUUAAUCAUUGUGCUAAGUGAAAGAAACCAGACACAUAAGGGCCUUAUUCUAUUUACAUGGAAUAUGAAGAAGAGGUAAAUCAGUAGGGGCAAAGCAGAUUAGUGGUUGUCAGUGACUAGAGAGGGUACAGGGAAUGGAGAAUGGAGAAUUUUGACCAUAGUGAUGAUUGCACAAAGGCCCCUGAAUUGUAUUAAAAUGGUGAGUUUUAUGUAUGUGAAUUUUACCUCAUUUUUAAAAAUAAAGGAAUUAAUCAUUUAAAAAAAAAUACGUGGUGGGCAAGAUAUAGCUCCCUGGGUAUAGUUUAUUGACUCUUGGUAUUGUUUAUUCAUGGGUAUUUGCAUUGCAACAUAUUUAUUACAAAUAUUUUUUAAUGAGACAGUCUAAAGACAUAUUUAGAAUGUAGUAGGAUAUAAGUUGUCACAAAAUGCUGGCUUUCAAAAUUUAUAUACAAAUCAUUAGAAUCAAUAUGCUGUUAGCCCUGUAGAGGAUUGGCAAAGACUUGAGCAUGUCCCACAUAAACCACAGUUGUAGGUCCUCAAGUUUAUUUGGCAACAGAGAAACAGCAAAAAUUAUAAGCAGUCCUAAUGUAUACUUUCUAGAAUGGGUCCAAUAAAAUGGAUUGAGGAUUCUAAAUAUUGGUGAGUAUUUUACUAACCAGUAUCUUUUACACAGGGAUGGUGUGAGUAUAAUUGGGGAUAGUCACAUUGGAAAACUUUUCAUGAUACGCCAUAAUACUGAACAUGCUCAUAUUUUCUGACUUAGAAAUUUCACUACAGUGUAUAUGCUUAUCAAGAUUGAUGUGUAUAUGUUCCCUAAAGACAUGUUAAUGUCUGUAGCAUUAUUAUUCUUAAUGGCUGGCUCUAAGCUGGAAAACAUGCAAAUGACUGUCAACAGAAUAGACACAUCAAUGGUAGUGGUGUUUCCUUUUUGUGGAUUACUACACAUUAUUGAAAUAGAACAAACUGCAACUACAUGUUAUGCAGUUAUCUCCUAUUAUUUUCAGCAAAGCAGCAGAAUGUAUUAACCAAAAGUUGGAAUAGUGGUUCAUCUGGGUAAAAAUGUAAUUAAUUAUAGCAGUGCACAUGUCACUUUAAUGAUGCCAAUAAUUUUUUCAAGUUUGUUAAAUUAUUCUUUGUGUACGUAUAUAAUUUAUACAGUCUUCUGUGUAUCAUAUUUUAUAAUAUAAUAAAAAUAAAAUUUCACUCAAAUACCAAUUUUUGAGGAUCCUUCUCAGGAUGUAUGGGUAUACCUUGGAGAUAUUGUGGGUUCAGUUCCAGACAACCACAGUAAAGUAAAUAUCACAAUAAUUUGAGUUACAUGAGUUUUGUUGAUUUACUAGUGCACAUAAAAGUCAAGUUUGCACUGUACUGUAGUUUCUUCUGUACAAUAGCAUCAUGUCUAAAAAAAAAGUACAUACCUUAAUUUAAAAAUUUUUGGAGUUCCUGUCGUGGUGCAGUGGAAAUGAAUCCAACUAGGAACCAUGAGGUUGUGGGUUCGAUCCCUGGCCUCCACUCAGCUGGUUAAGGAUGUGGUGUUGCUGUGAACUGUGGUGUAGGUCGCAGACGUGACUCGGAUCUGGUGUUGCUGUGGCUGGCAUAGGUCAGCAGCUACUGCUCCAAUUAGACCCCUAGCCUGGGAACCUCCAUAUGCCAUGGGUGUGGCCCUAAAAAUGACAGAAAUGAAAAUUCAUUGCUGAAAAAUGCUAAGCAUCAUCUGAGCCUUUAUCAAGUUAGUCGUGACAUCAAAAAUUACUGAUCAUCAUAAAAAAUAUAAUUGCAAAAAAGUUUUAAGUAUAUACUUCUGAAGUUUCUCCUAAUGGCAUACAGCAAAUGAUGAAAUAUUUAAGAGUUUUCUUGAAACUGAAGAGCAAGAUUGUGUGACAUUCAAACUACCACUCACUCAUUCUUCCCAUUUCAACUCAUUAGGAUGACUCUACUCUAAGUAUUGGAGCCAAAAAUAAAAAUAUCUCUGUCUUUUAGCUAGCAGUUCAGGUCUGAAGUCCAGAAUGGGAUGAUGCCAAAAUUUCUUAUUCUCCAGCUCAGUUUUGUAGAUCCUCAGUUCCACACAAUUGCAGCUGACAGGAUGAAGAUUUAUUCCUCUCCUCCCCACUCAGACACAUUGAAUAGGAGCUCUUCCUCAGGCUUAGUAUCCUUAGAAUACUGAACCCCCUGUCUUCACCGUAGGUCAUUUGUACCUUUGAAGUUCCAUAUUAGGUGGGGCAAAUUGAGAACACAGCAAUCCCCCAGUUUAAUACUUAAAAAUCUGUAUUGUCACUUUGGGGAUAGGUUGUCACUAUCUCUCUAGCUCUUUGGAUCUGGGUGACAGAUUCUGUUAAGUAGGACAGGCAGAACAUAAGAAUAGAGAGCCCUGAAGCCCUCCCUAAUGCACCUACUUUUAUUUUAUUUUACUUUAUUAUUUUACUUUAUAUUUUUAUAACUGCACCUGAGGCACAUAAAAGUUCCUGGGCUAGGAGUUGAAUUGAAGCUAUAGCUGCAGGCCUAUGCCACAGUCACAGCAAUGUUGGAUAUGAGCUACAUCUGCAACCUCUGCCACAGCUUGCGGCAGUGCUGGAUCCUUAACCCACUGAGCAAGGCCGGGGAAUUGAACCUGCAUCCUUAUGGACACUAUGUUGGGUUCUUAACCCACAAUGGGAACUCCCUAAACUACCGUUAUUUUAAAGAGUAUGGUGACAUUGAAGCCUAUGGGCAAACCCCAAAAUGGUAGAUAUUUCAGUAGUAAGUAAUUAGAUAGCUGGUACUUCAUGAGUGCAACCUGCCUAACUGUAGGCUAGCUAAUUUUCCACAGAGAACCAUGAAAAGCAUUGAGAGCAUUCCUUUUGUCUGAACAAAUACUGGCAUCAGUCACUACCACUGCAGUGGGCCUGAAUUUAACUGUAUUAGGAUAUUUAGUAAUAUAUGUUAUAAAUCAUAAAAAAAGAACUUGUAUUUAGUGUAGCCAACAGCUCAAUUUGUUCAAGACUAGAGACCACUUGACUCCUUGUAUAUUUGUCAUUCCAGGAUAACUGGACAUUUCCAGGGCUAAACCCUCUGAGAAGCAAUAUCAUAAGCUUAACAUUGUGUGAGAAAUAGACUUCAGUAAGAGUCCAGUGAAUCACUAAACAUUAAAAAUUUAAUUGAUAACUACCAUCCCUGGAGUUGUGCUUAACUAGCCAAUAUUGCUACCAUCAUUUAUGUCUUUUUUCCAACUGCAAAAAAAAUUGAGACAUGCAAAAAAAAAAAAAAA
RNAcentral lists this long non-coding RNA (4781 nucleotides) under Sus scrofa (pig). RNAcentral describes it as "lncRNA (ENSSSCG00025063760.1, ENSSSCG00035024661.1, ENSSSCG00065053569.1)". The stretch from base 2 to 117 matches the Rfam family "JPX transcript, XIST activator conserved region 1". Lineage: Eukaryota; Metazoa; Chordata; Mammalia; Artiodactyla; Suidae. The record is from RNAcentral.